UUUCCGUAGGUGAGCCUGCGGAAGGAUCAUUAUAAAUGAAAAACGAAUAACUUCAGGGAAGAAGGGAACCUGCACGGUGACCUCCCCUGUCGGGCCACCCAAUACCUUCAAAAUGCCGCCGUCCUAGCGGUGGCAGACGAAAAAAAAACAAGAAAAACAAAAUAGAAACAGGCACGGUGGCCCGUUCACCUUCACACAACCCUCCGAGUACCGCUUCCAUGUUGCUUCCCCGCAAAUCCACCUCUUUGGUGAGCGCGGGGGAGGGCCGCAUCAAAUUCACCUGAAUGUCACAGCAGUCAGACAGCCAUUCAUGGAAACAAUAAAACUUUCAACAACGGAUCUCUUGGUUCCC
RNAcentral lists this unclassified non-coding RNA (352 nucleotides) under plant metagenome. Its description in RNAcentral is "partial contains small subunit ribosomal RNA, internal transcribed spacer 1, and 5.8S ribosomal RNA". The record is from RNAcentral.